RNAcentral lists this ribosomal RNA (483 nucleotides) under uncultured bacterium. RNAcentral describes it as "partial 16S ribosomal RNA". It matches the Rfam family "Bacterial small subunit ribosomal RNA", at positions 28 to 507 of the family's 1533-position model. The record is from RNAcentral.
GAUGAACGCUGGCGGCGUGCCUAACACAUGCAAGUCGAACGAAGCUUGACGGAUGAUUUCUUCGGAAUGAAACCAGAUAUGACUUAGUGGCGGACGGGUGAGUAACACGUGAGCAACCUGCCUUUCAGAGGGGGAUAACGGCUGGAAACGGUCGCUAAUACCGCAUGAUGUGUUCGGAUGGCAUCAUCUGAACAUCAAAGAUUUAUCGCUGAAAGAUGGGCUCGCGUCUGAUUAGAUAGUUGGUGGGGUAACGGCCUACCAAGUCUACGAUCAGUAGCCGGACUGAGAGGUUGAACGGCCACAGUGGGACUGAGAUACGGCCCAGACUCCUACGGGAGGCAGCAGUGGGGAAUAUUGCACAAUGGGGGAAACCCUGAUGCAGCAACGCCGCGUGAAGGAUGACGGUUUUCGGAUUGUAAACUUCUUUUCUUAGUGACGAAGACAGUGACGGUAGCUAAGGAAUAAGCAUCGGCUAACUACGUG